RNAcentral lists this ribosomal RNA (214 nucleotides) under uncultured bacterium. RNAcentral's name for it is "partial 16S ribosomal RNA". It matches the Rfam family "Bacterial small subunit ribosomal RNA", at positions 28 to 239 of the family's 1533-position model. The record is from RNAcentral.
GAUGAACGCUAGCGGCAGGCUUAAUACAUGCAAGUCGAACGGUAAGAGAUGUAGCAAUACAUUUCCUAGAGUGACGUACGGGUGCGUAACACGUAUGCAACCUACCUGUAACAGGAGUAUAGCUCGGGGAAACUCGAAUUAACCCUCCAUAAGAUCGUGAAGUGGCAUCACUUAGCGCUUAAAACUGAGGUGGUUACAGAUGGGCAUGCGUCUG